UUCCUAUUGGGAAGACCAUCAUAUUGAAGAACAAGGUCAAACUUCUUGAAGUCCUGAAAGAAUAAUGAUACCUAAAGCCUAAUGCUGGGGAGAAGAAAAGUAGAUGGUGCUUCAGUUCCCAGGCUUGGAGUCUGAGGUUGAGACCAUGAAGGAGAAAGAAGAUGAAGAAAGAAGACUGUGCCAUGGGGCAGGUGGAUUGGCCAGGAGGACUGGCCUGGUGUAUGAGCAGUCUAGGUAGAACAUGGAAAAUGAUAUCUCACAGCUAUUAACAGGAACUAUACAAAAUAGUCAGUCCAACUGCAAUAAUUUAAAUCUUAUUAUAAAUACCAAGUCCUUUGUGCUAUAUUUGGUACCUUUUUGAUUCAAGUGUGGUAAUAAAUAAAUAAAUAAUAUUUACCACAUCAA
Molecule: long non-coding RNA, 405 nt
Organism: Apodemus sylvaticus (European woodmouse)
Lineage: Eukaryota; Metazoa; Chordata; Mammalia; Rodentia; Muridae
Exons: 2
Source: RefSeq, a predicted model, not a curated record